GACGAACGCGGGCGGCGUGCCUAAUACAUGCAAGUAGAACGCUGAAGGAGGAGCUUGCUCUUCUGGAUGAGUUGCGAACGGGUGAGUAACGCGUAGGUAACCUGCCUGGUAGCGGGGGAUAACUAUUGGAAACGAUAGCUAAUACCGCAUAAGAGUAGAUGUUGCAUGACAUUUGCUUAAAAGGUGCAAUUGCAUCACUACCAGAUGGACCUGCGUUGUAUUAGCUAGUUGGUGAGGUAACGGCUCACCAAGGCAACGAUACAUAGCCGACCUGAGAGGGUGAUCGGCCACACUGGGACUGAGACACGGCCCAGACUCCUACGGGAGGCAGCAGUAGGGAAUCUUCGGCAAUGGACGGAAGUCUGACCGAGCAACGCCGCGUGAGUGAAGAAGGUUUUCGGAUCGUAAAGCUCUGUUGUAAGAGAAGAACGAGUGUGAGAGUGGAAAGUCACACUGUGACGUAUCUACCAGAAAGGACGCA
This 481-nucleotide ribosomal RNA is filed under the name Streptococcus mitis. Its description in RNAcentral is "bacterial SSU rRNA". It matches the Rfam family "Bacterial small subunit ribosomal RNA", at positions 28 to 496 of the family's 1533-position model. The record is from RNAcentral. Lineage: Bacteria; Bacillati; Bacillota; Bacilli; Lactobacillales; Streptococcaceae.